Lupinus albus (white lupine) is the source of this 2008-nucleotide non-coding RNA. The record is from the annotation of a GenBank genome assembly. Lineage: Eukaryota; Viridiplantae; Streptophyta; Magnoliopsida; Fabales; Fabaceae.
GUUAGGGUUACUUCAUUAUUCACAAUAUAAAUUGCUGAAACCUCUCUUCAUAAAAUUCCCGCAGCUUCUCUCACUAGUUAGGUUCAACAAAGGGUUUGGUUCUGAGUUUGGGUUUCAUUCUUCAUCACAAUGAGGGCCAAGUGGAAGAAGAAGCGUAUGAGGAGACUUAAGAGAAAGCGCCGAAAGAUGAGACAGAGAUCUAAGUAGUUUUUGUUGUUUGGCACCAACAUUAACAAAUCUUAGUAUUAUGUUUUUUGUUAUUGUUUUUGUUUUGUAAUGGGAUUUAUAUUAAGAGAGUAAUAUGUUAUAUACUCUCUUUUAUUUUUAUCAUAUGUUAUCAUACUUUGGUUCCUUUUUGGGACCUAACUAUCUUAGUUUAUUAAUGUUGUUAUUGAUUUGAAUUAACUUGCAUUUAUAUUUAAGUAUAUCUAUUUUUUUUGUUAAAUAUGAUUUAUAAUUUUUAGAAGCGCAUUUUUUUAAGAUUGCCUGUUUUCAUUAAGGUCACAUUUUCAAAUUCUGGAGGGGAAAGAUGAGGCUGCAAUUCCAAACCUGGUAUAUACUUAAUUUUAUUGAAGUUUUUAAUAUUAUGUUAUGUUGUGUAGGAUUGUGUAUAGAAGGCUUAAUGGAAUGGAUAAUAAUUUAAAUAUGAAUAUUGAAACAUGUUAUGUCCUUGUUUUUUUAGUAUUAGUAGCACUUUAUCUAUGCUCUAUUUAAAGUAGUAUUGGAUGUUAUUUGAUGAGAUUAUGUGACUUGUUUGCAAUAAUAAAUUUCAUUAGUAGUGUGUUUUGAAGUUCAGUUUUGUAGCAUUUCUCAGUAAGUAGUAUAUAUUUAAUGUAUGAUCAAAUGAUUCUGCUUCUUAUAAUUAGUUAGCUGUGUAUUCUUUAAUCAUUGAUACAUAAUUUUCUCAUUUUGGUAGCAACCGUAAAUUGAUUCUCUCGUCCUAAUCCGAGGCUCUUUUGCGGUUCCCUUUAAGGAACAAACUAGAUUUUUUGUGAACUCGUAUUAAUCCUCUUACCUCAUGAAAUUGGAUAUAUGACUUGUAAAUGAAUUAUUAAUAAUAAAAUAUCAGUUUGUGGCAUGUUAAUUUAAGUUUAGGAGGAUUUAUAGGAGAAUAUUAUUUUCCUUAUUGCCGUCCUUCUUUUAACUCAGUGGGUCUGAUUUCAUUAUUGGUGUCUUAUGCAUCCAUUGUUGAUAACUAGUCCAUGUCCACUAUAUCACUAUAUUUGUCAGGAAGAGAUCCACUUACUUCAAGAAUGAAUGUCUAAGAUGUGGAGUAGGUUUCUGCCCUUAAGAGGGAAUGAAUCAUUUCUUAUAUUUGUGAUGUAUUUACUUGUUCCUUACUCUUUUUUGUUCCUUCCUUUUAACUAAGUUGUGUUUGUCAUGGAGAUAUUAUGGUCACAAAAAUGUUGGCACGGUCAUGAAAGAGUAUUUUUGGUUCAUAGUAAGUUGAUAAAUUGAGUUCUAAUUUUGAUAUCAUUAUGAUUACAUAUUGAAAUCAAUUAUCAACAAAAUAUUAAAUAGUGUCUAAACCAAUCAUAGAAGAAAUAGUACUUCAAGUCCAAAAUUAAAAUCUAGCUUGCCGAUUUCAGUUUUGAUUAUGGUUAAUUAUUUCAAAUACAACUCUAGGAUGAAUAUAUUGAAGUAGCAUAAAAUACAAUUUUGGAUGAAUAUAUUGAAGUAGCGUAAAAUAAUUUUUAGCUAAGCAUUUUUUGAUGAUUAUAUCAUGGAAAAUGAUAUUUAUGCAUUUGAAUGACAAAUUUAAUUAGUAACUCAUAAACUCCAUUCGUUGACAAAUUAUAAUACUAACAAAAAUGUCGAAUAGGAUGCAAGAUAAGUUGUAUAAUACCUUCAUAGAUUUUGGAAAACUUCUUUAUAAAUCACAUUUGUUGUUGACUUCAGUGGUUUAUUAUCCUUGUCAUGUAUUAAAAUCUUCAAUCCAUUUUUAAUUUGAACUCUUGACAUAGCUACGUAUAGUUGACCGUGACUGAACACUAGUCUAGGUAGAUAU